UACAGAGGUCUCAAGCGUUGUUCGGAUUCAUUGGGCGUAAAGGGUGUGUAGGUGGCGCGCUAAGUCGGGUGUGAAAUUUCGGAGCUUAACUCCGAAACUGCAUUCGAUACUGGCGUGCUUGAGGACUGGAGAGGAGACUGGAAUUCAUGGUGUAGCAGUGAAAUGCGUAGAGAUCAUGAGGAACACCAGUGGCGAAGGCGGGUCUCUGGACAGUUCCUGACACUGAGACACGAAGGCCAGGGGAGCAAACGGG
Molecule: ribosomal RNA, 253 nt
Filed under: uncultured bacterium
Lineage: Bacteria
Description: partial 16S ribosomal RNA
Rfam family: Bacterial small subunit ribosomal RNA
Source: RNAcentral